This is a long non-coding RNA of Bactrocera oleae (olive fruit fly), 2800 nucleotides long. RefSeq lists it as uncharacterized. The record is from RefSeq and is a predicted model, not a curated record. NCBI's taxonomy places the organism in Eukaryota, Metazoa, Arthropoda, Insecta, Diptera, Tephritidae.
AACAAAUUCAUACUCUCAACCACAAGAAAUAAACCUAUAGAUAUUUCCAACGGUAAUUUUUAUAAAAAUAAAAUAUUCGAACGACUUAACACAGUAACGAAAAGCUUAAUACUAGAAGAGAAAAUUACCAACACACCGACCGGGAAGUGUAUGUGAAAACUAUAAAGCUGUUAGACACAAGUAAAGUCGAUAAUAACGAUUACAACAGUAGUGACAUUUCUGAUAUUGAGCAACGCGACCUUGAUAGUGUAAAACGUUCAUGGUGUAAAUGGUUUCGUCGAAAUUUUCCUCGAAAACGUAGAGAUAACAUGAAAUUACAGCACAAUAUUACAUAUUAUCGACCGUUUAGAAAUCAUAAAAGUUACCGAAAGUCUUGAACACAAUAUAGAACAAAUCAUAAAUAAGGUUAAAUCGAAUCGGGUCUACGUAACCGGAACGGACCCGGAUUUAUUCCGGCCAAGGACUGUCAACUCGGUAGAAUUCUGCCGCUACAACAACAACAACUAAUUAGUUUUAUAGGAACGGGUAUGAAAUGGCUAUACGGUACAAUGGACGAUAGUAAUAGAGAAGAAAUAUAAAUACUGCUUCAAACAAUUGACGAGAAUAACCAUGUAAUAAUAUAAAUUAAAAUAUGGGUAUAAGUAAUGUAUUUAUUGUAACAAUUUUAAAACUCAAAGAAGCUAUAGAAGGGGAUAGAAAAAAAUUUACAAGAAAAUUUAAUGAAAUUCUUGAAAGUGAUCAACAAUUGGAAAAAAAUAAUGUAUCUCGAUACUCUGUUAAAAAUUAAAAUCUUAUUAGACAAUGUUGAACACAUACAAAAUAACCUUCAUUACAAUAUAGAUUUAUAUCAAAUACAAAAUACUAAAGUUAGCACAGCUCUAUAUAUAAAUAAUAUAAUGUUAUACAAAUACCAAAUGAAAUAAGUAAAGUAAAAAGAUCCUUAUUUAUACCAAUUCCAAAUGAUAAACCAAAGAGCAUUUGUUUGAAAUGUAAGAAAUUAUAAAAACUAACGCAAGUAUAUAUUAUUAUAAUAAUGAAUCCACAAUGAAGUUUAAAAACAUUACAAUAAUGCAUAUUCCCAAAAACUUGUAUGAAAAUUAAAAGCCAUAAAUUGGCAACUAAAGAAAUACGACCAGGUUUGUUAAUCCUGAAAAACCAUGUCAACGCAGUAGUUAAUAACACAUGUAAUGAAAAAUUUAUAAUAUAAAAAUCAAAUGCUUUAAUGACGUUCAAUAAUUGUAAAAUAGAAAUAAGUGGAAUAAUUGAGGAACUAAGAUUUCAUAAAAAAGUCAAUUAUACUUCUACUUUGACCUGCAGUGUCAUAACUUUUAACAUUGACAUUUCUUUGUUACUAAAAUAAAAAAAGUAAAAAUAACAACGCAGAAAUUAUUAUAAAAACUGAAGAGAGUUUUCAAUCCAAUGAAGGACGGCAUACGUCAGCUUCCCGUUCUAAUGAGUCGUUAAAUUCGCGUCCAAUAAACUGGAGCAAAUAAUAAACAAAUACAAGGUACAAUUCAAAAGUUCCAGGACUUUUUAAACAAGGCGGCUUCUAGUGGCGCAAUCUGUCUAAAAUUGUUAUCCCUCAAUUGUGUAGUCUUCAGUGUUGUCGUAUAAAAUUUAUAUAACCGCUGACUUGUGUAACAGCUGAGACAUCGCGCUACAUGUGACAUUACAUUUGUAGUGUCGGUCGGAAAAUGAGCAUCGAACGAACAGCCAACAUUAAGUUUUGUUUCAAACUUGGUAAAACUUUUACCAAAACUCAUCAAAUGAUGAAACAAGUUUAUGGCGAUGAUUGUCUAUCCCGUAACCGCAUUAAUGAGUGGUUUAAACGUUUUCAAGAGGGACGGGAGGACUUGGAAGACGACGAACGUUCGGGCCGGCCAAAAGAUGUUUUGAACGAAAAAAACACGAAAAUUGCGCGUGAAUUCAUUAAAAAAGAGCCGAAAUCAUCGCUUAAAUAUAUGGAAUCGGAAUUAUCAAUAUCCGCAGUGUCGAUUUAUCAAAUUUUGAUAGAAAAUUUGGGCCUCAGAAAGGUUUGUGCUCGAUUUGUCCCGCACACUUUGAAACAACACGAAAAAGACCUCAGAAUCAGACAGAUUUUUUGACCAAAAAUCGCAUUCAUAUCAUCAACCAUUCACCCUAUUCGCCUGAUAUGGCACCCUGCGAUUUUUAUUUGUUCAGAAAACUACAUUUGGCCAUGAAAGGAAACCGCUAUGCUGACGUUGAUGCCAUCCUCAACGCUAUACCGACAAAUGACCUAAAAAAGUCAUUCGAUAACCUUCUUGAACGUGCAAAACGUUGUAUUCAGGCGGAAGGAGGAGGAUUUUGAAGGUGACCAAUAAAUUUUUCAAAAAAAAAAAACAAAUAAUAUUUGUUUUUUAAUAAAAGUCCUGAAACUUUUGAAUUGCACCUUGUACUUUCAAUUAUUUACACAACGAAAUUAUACAACGAUCAAAUUCAUCGAUGGUCGGGUUCAAAAACUCAAUUGACACAUUUUGUUUGCUUACACAGCAACUUUGUGCAACGAUCAAAUUCAUUGUGUUGUUGACACAACAGUCAAAUCCGUUGAUCACUGCAAUAGUAAUUUAAUAUUUUAUUUUGCUUAUUUUAAUAAUUUUGUGCAUCGGUCGAUUUCGUUGACUUCAUCGAUUUGUAAACAUAUGAGUUCAAUUAACGUUGUGCUGAGUCAAGAACUAUAACAAUAGUAAUCACCAUAAAUAGUAGUAAUAUUUUCGAAACAGCAGGAUCAACAAUCGAGAUGUAAGCUUGAAUUAAAGAAAAAUAUAAAAAAAAGUAAAAA